CAGCCGCCACGGUAAUAUGUAGGGUGCAAGCGUUAAUCGGAAUUACUGGGCAUAAAGCGUGCGUAGGCGGUUCUAUAAGACAGAUGUGAAAUCCCCGGGCUCAACCUGGGAACUGCAUUUGUGACUGUAGAGCUGGAGUGCGGCAGAGGGGGAUGGAAUUCUGCGUGUAGCAGUGAAAUGCGUAGAUAUGCGGAGGAACACCGAUGGCGAAGGCAAUCCCCUGGGCCUGCACUGACGCUCAUGCACGAAAGCGGGGGGAGCAAACAGGAUUAGAUACCCGCGUAGUCCCUGUCUCUUAUAC
This 301-nucleotide ribosomal RNA is filed under the name uncultured bacterium. RNAcentral describes it as "partial 16S ribosomal RNA". It matches the Rfam family "Bacterial small subunit ribosomal RNA", at positions 509 to 807 of the family's 1533-position model. The record is from RNAcentral.